Cavia porcellus (domestic guinea pig) is the source of this 107-nucleotide small nuclear RNA. Lineage: Eukaryota; Metazoa; Chordata; Mammalia; Rodentia; Caviidae. The record is from Ensembl.
AUGCUUUCUUUGGCAGCACAUAUACUAAAAUUGGAACCAUACAGAGAAGAUUAGCAUGGCCCCUACACAAUAAUGAUACACAAACUCAUGAAGACUUCCAUAUUUUU